RNAcentral lists this transfer RNA (60 nucleotides) under Xenopeltis hainanensis. Its description in RNAcentral is "tRNA-Cys". Lineage: Eukaryota; Metazoa; Chordata; Lepidosauria; Squamata; Xenopeltidae. The record is from RNAcentral.
AAGCCCUGAGGUGUUAACACAUCGGACUGCAAACCCGAAGACGGCCCGUGCCCGGGGCUU